AUGGAAAAAGCAAGGUGUUAUUUAAACUGUUUGGUAAAACAACAGAGACAACACUGUGAUGUCACCAGUUCCCAUGGAUUUAAUUACCAUCUCUAUGCUGAUGAUUCUCAGGUCUACCUUUCCUGCCCCAAUCUCUCUGCUGACUCCAACUUGAAUCUCCAUCUGCCUUUCAGACAUCUCAAACUGGAGAUGCAGAAUGGCCAAUUCCACGCCGGAGGGUCAACAACUGUGCAUCAACAGAGGUUGCCCAACCAAGAGCACUCAGUUUAACACUAAGCCAAUAUGUUCAUGCCUCCUACUGAAAGACCAUCCUUGCUAUGGAUGAAACCAGCAACUGUAAAGAAGUCUUCACUGAAGAAAGUAAGGUGAAGAAAACAGCUAAAAUUCUAUUUGAUUUUCUGUUCAAUAGCCCUAAAUUCUACUAUCCCUUUAAGAAACCCUUUUCUUCCUAUUUGACACCAUUUCUACAGGAACUUCAAAAGCUGGAGCAGACUUCAACCAAUGAACUAUUGAUGGCAAAGUCAACAGCCUGAGAAAGCAGAUGGGAGUGAUAAAGUUUAAUGCUCCUAGAGCUGACUGUUUGGUUUGGUUUGGUUUUUUCUCCCAAAGAGCCUGGGAGAAGAUAUAGAUAUAUAGAUAUAUAUACAUAUAUAUAUGUAUAUAUAUGUAUGUAUGUAUGUAUGAAGUAAUGAUGUUCACAGUGGUGGGAUGCUGGAUAUAUGCAUUUUUGUAUACCAAACACAUGGGGAGAAAGCUAGAGUGAAACAGAUUACCCCCACUAGAGAGGAAAGUUGAAGAAGUUUGACUACUUCAAUGUAUUUGAUUCAAAUCCAAAAUAUGCCUAAUGAACACAAUGCUGAGAUAUAAAAGCAAAAAGGAACAAUCUCUGCCCACAAGAAGCUUACAUUCAGAAGCUACCAGAAGGGAUAAGAGAUUGGAAAAAAACAAGGGAAUGCACAGAUGAAAUUAUCCAGAAAUCUACUAAAGCCAAAGUAAGAAGGAUAUACGUAUAAAAUAAGUAAAGUGCCUCAUAAUACAAAAACUUGAUAAUUAGCAAAGAAAGGUAUAGGUUUGUAGAAAUUAUUCCUAUUUUAUCUACUAAAGAUCCUCAACAGAAUUCAACCAUAAGUAUGAUAUUUAACUGAAACUCAUUUUUUUGUUUUUGCUAUUUAAGAAAUACAUCUUAUUUCUGGACAAAGGAGUGGUUUAAAUUUUUAAGCUUAUUCACUUGAAGGGAAAGUGAAUCACAGUUUCUAUCCUGUCUCUAGGAAUAAAACUCAUUGACUUUACUGAUAAACUUUUGGU
Molecule: long non-coding RNA, 1305 nt
Filed under: Monodelphis domestica (gray short-tailed opossum)
Lineage: Eukaryota; Metazoa; Chordata; Mammalia; Didelphimorphia; Didelphidae
Description: lncRNA (ENSMODG00000031284.2)
Source: RNAcentral